Molecule: ribosomal RNA, 301 nt
Filed under: uncultured bacterium
Lineage: Bacteria
Description: partial 16S ribosomal RNA
Rfam family: Bacterial small subunit ribosomal RNA
Source: RNAcentral
CAGCCGCCGCGGUAAUACGGAGGGAGCUAGCGUUGUUCGGAAUUACUGGGCGUAAAGCGCGCGUAGGCGGUUACUCAAGUCAGAGGUGAAAGCCCGGGGCUCAACCCCGGAACUGCCUUUGAAACUAGGUGACUAGAAUCUUGGAGAGGUCAGUGGAAUUCCGAGUGUAGAGGUGAAAUUCGUAGAUAUUCGGAAGAACACCAGUGGCGAAGGCGGCUCACUGGCUCAUUCUAGACGCUGAGGUGCGAAAGCGUGGGGAGCAAACAGGAUUAGAUACCCCCGUAGUCCCUGUCUCUUAUAU